UUGGGGAUGGGGGAGAGGGAGGCAGAAGCAAUCCAUAGGAGGUUAUCCUGUCUAUGUGUAAAAGACAAUGGACUUUGGGGGUAUUUCUAGAUGGCAAAGAUGACACCCUGUCAUUCUGCACCUUGGAAGUAAAUAGUGUAGCUGCAUUCAUGAAAAUAGAUCUCAAACCAGCCUUGAUGGAAAGUGCUCAGGAGGACUUUCGAUUUUCCCUCUGGUUUGCACUGUGCACCAGCUGGGACACAGUUACAUCGUUCUAUCAGCUGCCUGUAAAAUGGGAAGGAAGAAAAGAAGGAAGAAUGAAUGACACCAUAAUGCCAUCUGAUACCAGAGUUCCUCUGCACUUACUGCAACACUCACUUCAAGAAAUAGCCAGUUGACUCUUCUUCAUAGGUCUUUUAGAAUCGGUAACUUUGGAGGCUGAUCCUACAGAUGAGAUUUUUGCAUGCCA
Mauremys reevesii (Reeves's turtle) is the source of this 448-nucleotide long non-coding RNA. RefSeq lists it as uncharacterized. The record is from RefSeq and is a predicted model, not a curated record. NCBI's taxonomy places the organism in Eukaryota, Metazoa, Chordata, Testudines, Geoemydidae. The transcript has 3 exons.